CCUACGGGAGGCAGCAGUGAGGAAUAUUGGUCAAUGGGCGUAAGCCUGAACCAGCCACGUCGCGUGAGGGAUGAAGGUUCUAUGGAUCGUAAACCUCUUUUAUAAGGGAGUAAAGUGUGGGACGUGUCCUGUUUUGUAUGUACCUUAUGAAUAAGGAUCGGCUAACUCCGUGCCAGCAGCCGCGGUAAUACGGAGGAUCCGAGCGUUAUCCGGAUUUAUUGGGUUUAAAGGGUGCGUAGGCGGCCUUUUAAGUCGGGGGUGAAAGUCUGUGGCUCAACCAUAGAAUUGCCUGUGAAACUGGGAGGCUUGAGUAUGUUUGAGGCAAGCGGAAUGCGUGGUGUAGCGGUGAAAUGCUUAGAUAUCACGAAGAACCCCGGUUGCGAAGGCGGCCUGCCAGGCCAUGACUGACGCUGAUGCACGAAAGCGUGGGGAUCAAACAGGAUUAGAUACCCCUGUAGUC
Molecule: ribosomal RNA, 460 nt
Filed under: uncultured bacterium
Lineage: Bacteria
Description: partial 16S ribosomal RNA
Rfam family: Bacterial small subunit ribosomal RNA
Source: RNAcentral